RNAcentral lists this ribosomal RNA (254 nucleotides) under uncultured bacterium. Its description in RNAcentral is "partial 16S ribosomal RNA". It matches the Rfam family "Bacterial small subunit ribosomal RNA", at positions 524 to 777 of the family's 1533-position model. The record is from RNAcentral.
UACGAAGGGGACUAGCGUUGUUCGGAAUUACUGGGCGUAAAGGGCUCGUAGGCGGCCAACUAAGUCAGACGUGAAAUCCCUCGGCUUAACCGGGGAACUGCAUCUGAUACUGGAUGGCUUGAGAUUGGGAGAGGGAUGCGGAAUUCCAGGUGUAGCGGUGAAAUGCGUAGAUAUCUGGAGGAAUACCGGUGGCGAAGGCGGCAUCCUGGACCAUUACUGACGCUGAGGCGCGAAAGCUAGGGGAGCAAACGGGG